This 235-nucleotide ribosomal RNA is filed under the name Planctomycetota bacterium. Its description in RNAcentral is "Planctomycetes bacterium (sediment metagenome) partial 16S ribosomal RNA". It matches the Rfam family "Bacterial small subunit ribosomal RNA", at positions 1319 to 1533 of the family's 1533-position model. Lineage: Bacteria; Pseudomonadati; Planctomycetota. The record is from RNAcentral.
CAUGAAGCCGGAAUCGCUAGUAAUCGCGGGUCAGCAUACCGCGGUGAAUGUGUUCCUGAGCCUUGUACACACCGCCCGUCAAGCCACGAAAGUGGGGGGCGUCCGAAGUCGCCGUGGUAACCCGAGUAGGUAACCAAAGGGAGCUAAGCGCCGAAGACGAACUCCGCGAUUGGGACUAAGUCGUAACAAGGUAGCCGUAGGGGAACCUGCGGCUGGAUCACCUCCUUUCUAAGGA